GAUUGAAUGGUCCGGUGAAGUGUUCGGAUCGGGGGGACGUGGGUGGUUCGCCACUCGCGACGUCUUGAGAAGUCCAUUGAACCUUAUCAUUUAGAGGAAGGAGAAGUCGUAACAAGGUUUCCGUAGGUGAACCUGCGGAAGGAUCAUUG
RNAcentral lists this ribosomal RNA (149 nucleotides) under Zingiber coloratum. RNAcentral's name for it is "partial 18S ribosomal RNA". It matches the Rfam family "Eukaryotic small subunit ribosomal RNA", at positions 1687 to 1831 of the family's 1831-position model. The record is from RNAcentral. Lineage: Eukaryota; Viridiplantae; Streptophyta; Magnoliopsida; Zingiberales; Zingiberaceae.